Molecule: ribosomal RNA, 810 nt
Filed under: uncultured Actinomycetes bacterium
Lineage: Bacteria; Bacillati; Actinomycetota; Actinomycetes
Description: bacterial SSU rRNA
Rfam family: Bacterial small subunit ribosomal RNA
Source: RNAcentral
GCCUGCAGCUUGCUGCGGGUACUCGAGUGGCGAACGGGUGAGUAACACGUGGGUGAUCUGCCUUGCACUUCGGGAUAAGCUUGGGAAACUGGGUCUAAUACCGGAUAGGACAGCUGUUUAGUGUCAGUUGUGGAAAGUUUUUUCGGUGCAAGAUGAGCUCGCGGCCUAUCAGCUUGUUGGUGGGGUAAUGGCCUACCAAGGCGUCGACGGGUAGCCGGCCUGAGAGGGUGUACGGCCACAUUGGGACUGAGAUACGGCCCAGACUCCUACGGGAGGCAGCAGUGGGGAAUAUUGCACAAUGGGCGGAAGCCUGAUGCAGCGACGCCGCGUGGGGGAUGAAGGCCUUCGGGUUGUAAACUCCUUUCGACAGGGACGAAGCGUAAGUGACGGUACCUGUAUAAGAAGCACCGGCUAACUACGUGCCAGCAGCCGCGGUAAUACGUAGGGUGCGAGCGUUGUCCGGAAUUACUGGGCGUAAAGAGCUCGUAGGUGGUUUGUCGCGUCGUCUGUGAAAUUCCGGGGCUUAACUCCGGGCGUGCAGGCGAUACGGGCUGACUUGAGUGCUGUAGGGGAGACUGGAAUUCCUGGUGUAGCGGUGAAAUGCGCAGAUAUCAGGAGGAACACCGAUGGCGAAGGCAGGUCUCUGGGCAGUAACUGACGCUGAGGAGCGAAAGCAUGGGUAGCGAACAGGAUUAGAUACCCUGGUAGUCCAUGCCGUAAACGGUGGGCGCUAGGUGUAGGGGGCUUCCACGUCUUCUGUGCCGUAGCUAACGCAUAAGGGCCCCGCCUGGGGAGUACGCCGCAAGGCUA